Molecule: ribosomal RNA, 491 nt
Filed under: uncultured bacterium
Lineage: Bacteria
Description: partial 16S ribosomal RNA
Rfam family: Bacterial small subunit ribosomal RNA
Source: RNAcentral
AGUGAACGCUGGCGGUAGGCCUAACACAUGCAAGUCGAACGGCAGCACAGUAAGAGCUUGCUCUUACGGGUGGCGAGUGGCGGACGGGUGAGGAAUACAUCGGAAUCUACUUUUUCGUGGGGGAUAACGUAGGGAAACUUACGCUAAUACCGCAUACGACCUACGGGUGAAAGCAGGGGAUCUUCGGACCUUGCGCGAUUGAAUGAGCCGAUGUCGGAUUAGCUAGUUGGCGGGGUAAAGGCCCACCAAGGCGACGAUCCGUAGCUGGUCUGAGAGGAUGUUCGGCCACACGGGACUGGGGACACGUCCCAGACUCCUACGGGAGGCAGCGGUGGGAAAUAUUGGACAAUGGGCGCAAGCUUGAUCCAGCCAUACCGGGUGGGUGAAGAAGGCCUCCGGGUUGUAAAGCCCUUUUGUUGGGAAAGAAAAGCAGCAGGUUAAAACCCCGCUGUUCUGACGGUACCCAAAGAAUAAGCACCGGCUACCUUCGU